RNAcentral lists this ribosomal RNA (1017 nucleotides) under uncultured Bacillota bacterium. RNAcentral's name for it is "bacterial SSU rRNA". It matches the Rfam family "Bacterial small subunit ribosomal RNA", at positions 1 to 917 of the family's 1533-position model. The record is from RNAcentral. Lineage: Bacteria; Bacillati; Bacillota.
UGGAUCCAGACUUUGAUCAUGGCUCAGGACGAACGCUGGCGGCGCGCCUAACACAUGCAAGUCGAACGGAGUUAUUUUCUUCACUCCGAGCUUUUUGCCAGUUAGCCGGAGCGGCAAUCGGUUUUGCCCAGCAUAAAAAGCAAAACCGAUUCAGGCUCAUAAAGUAAGACUAACACAGAGGGCAGAGAGUUGGGAGUGAAGAAAAUAACUUAGUGGCGAACGGGUGAGUAACGCGUGAGUAACCUGCCCUGGAGUGGGGGACAACAGUUGGAAACGACUGCUAAUACCGCAUAAGCCCACGGCCCGGCAUCGGGCUGCGGGAAAAGGAUUUAUUCGCUCCAGGAUGACUCGCGUCCAAUUAGCUAGUUGGUGAGGUAACGGCCCACCAAGGCGACGAUUGGUAGCCGGACUGAGAGGUUGAACGGCCACAUUGGGACUGAGACACGGCCCAGACUCCUACGGGAGGCAGCAGUGGGGGAUAUUGUACAAUGGGGGGAACCCUGAUGCAGCGACGCCGCGUGGAGGAAGAAGGUUUUCGGAUUGUAAACUCCUGUCGUUAGGGGCGAUAGUGACGGUACCUAACAAGAAAGCACCGGCUAACUACGUGCCAGCAGCCGCGGUAAAACGUAGGGUGCAAGCGUUGUCCGGAAUUACUGGGUGUAAAGGGAGCGCAGGCGGACCGGCAAGUUGGAAGUGAAAACUAUGGGCUCAACCCAUAAAUUGCUUUCAAAACUGCUGGCCUUGAGUAGUGCAGAGGUAGGUGGAAUUCCCGGUGUAGCGGUGGAAUGCGUAGAUAUCGGGAGGAACACCAGUGGCGAAGGCGACCUACUGGGCACCAACUGACGCUGAGGCUCGAAGGCAUGGGUAGCAAACAGGAUUAGAUACCCUGGUAGUCCAUGCCGUAAACGAUGAUUACUAGGUGUUGGAGGAUUGACCCCUUCAGUGCCGCAGUUAACACAAUAAGUAAUCCACCUGGGGAGUACGACCGCAAGGUUGCAACUCAAAGGAAUUGACGGA